Podarcis lilfordi (Lilford's wall lizard) is the source of this 70-nucleotide non-coding RNA. Lineage: Eukaryota; Metazoa; Chordata; Lepidosauria; Squamata; Lacertidae. The record is from the annotation of a GenBank genome assembly.
GUUCCUUAGCUCAGUAGCAGAGCAUCUGUUUUGCAUGCAGAAGGUCCCAGGUUCAAUCUUGGCAUCUCCA